CCUACGGGUGGCAGCAGUGAGGAAUAUUGGUCAAUGGCCGGAAGGCUGAACCAGCCAUGCCGCGUGAAGGAUGACUGCCCUAUGGGUUGUAAACUUCUUUUAUAUGGGAAUAAAAUGUUCCACGUGUGGGAUUUUGUAUGUCCCAUAUGAAUAAGGAUCGGCUAACUCCGUGCCCGCAGCCGCGGUAAUACGGAGGAUCCGAGCGUUAUCCGGAUUUAUUGGGUUUAAAGGGAGCGUAGGUGGCUUGUUAAGUCAGUUGUGAAAGUGUGCGGCUCAACCGUAAAAUUGCAGUUGAAACUGGCAGUCUGGAGUACAGUAGAGGUGGGCGGAAUUCGUGGUGUAGCGGUGAAAUGCUUAGAUAUCACGAAGAACUCCGAUGGCGAAGGCAGCUCACUGGACUGCAACUGACACUGAGGCUCGAAAGUGUGGGUAUCAAACAGGAUUAGAUACCCCAGUAGUC
RNAcentral lists this ribosomal RNA (460 nucleotides) under uncultured bacterium. RNAcentral describes it as "partial 16S ribosomal RNA". It matches the Rfam family "Bacterial small subunit ribosomal RNA", at positions 338 to 795 of the family's 1533-position model. The record is from RNAcentral.